Molecule: ribosomal RNA, 561 nt
Filed under: uncultured bacterium
Lineage: Bacteria
Description: bacterial SSU rRNA
Rfam family: Bacterial small subunit ribosomal RNA
Source: RNAcentral
AACGAACGCUGGCGGCAGGCUUAAUACAUGCAAGUCGAACGCUCUCGUCGGAGAGAGUGGCAGACGGGUGAGUAACACGUGGGAACGUGCCUUUCGGUUCGGAACAACUUCGGGAAACUGGAGCUAAUACCGGAUACGCCCUUCGGGGGAAAGAUUUAUCGCCGAAAGAUCGGCCCGCGCAGGAUUAGCUAGUUGGUGGGGUAACGGCCUACCAAGGCGACGAUCCUUAGCUGGUCUGAGAGGAUGAUCAGCCACACUGGGACUGAGACACGGCCCAGACUCCUACGGGAGGCAGCAGUAGGGAAUCUUGGACAAUGGGCGAAAGCCUGAUCCAGCCAUGCCGCGUGAGUGAAGAAGGCCCUAGGGUUGUAAAGCUCUUUCAGCUGGGAAGAUAAUGACGGUACCAGCAGAAGAAGCCCCGGCUAACUCCGUGCCAGCAGCCGCGGUGGUACGGAGGGGGCUAGCGUUGUUCGGAAUUACUGGGCGUAAAGCGCACGUAGGCGGAUUGUUUAGUCAGAGGUGAAAGCCCGGAGCUCAACUCCGGAAUUGCCUUUGAUACUG